Molecule: ribosomal RNA, 482 nt
Filed under: uncultured bacterium
Lineage: Bacteria
Description: partial 16S ribosomal RNA
Rfam family: Bacterial small subunit ribosomal RNA
Source: RNAcentral
GAUGAACGCUAGCGGCAGGCCUAAUACAUGCAAGUCGAACGAGAUUAAGAGGCUUGCUUCUUAUGAAAGUGGCGCACGGGUGCGUAACGCGUAUGCAACCUACCUUAAUCAGGGGGAUAGCCCGAAGAAAUUCGGAUUAAGACCGCAUAAAAACACAGGAUAGCAUUAUCCAAUGUUCAAAUAUUUAUAGGAUUAAGAUGGGCAUGCGUGUCAUUAGCUAGUUGGCGGGGUAACGGCCCACCAAGGCGACGAUGACUAGGGGAUCUGAGAGGAUGACCCCCCACACGGGUACUGAGACACGGACCAGACGCCUACGGGAGGCAGCAGUAAGGAAUAUUGGUCAAUGGAGGGAACUCUGAACCAGCCAUGCCGCGUGCAGGAAGACAGCCCUCUGGGUCGUAAACUGCUUUUAUUCGGGAAUAAACCUUUCUACGUGUAGGAAGCUGAAUGUACCGAAGGAAUAAGGAUCGGCUAACUCCGUG